Molecule: ribosomal RNA, 237 nt
Filed under: uncultured bacterium
Lineage: Bacteria
Description: partial 16S ribosomal RNA
Rfam family: Bacterial small subunit ribosomal RNA
Source: RNAcentral
UACGAAGGGGGCUAGCGUUGCUCGGAAUUACUGGGCGUAAAGCGCACGUAGGCGGCUUCUUAAGUCGGUGGUGAAAUCCUGGAGCUCAACUCCAGAACCGCCUUCGAUACUGGGAGCUCGAGUCCGGAAGAGGUUGGUGGAACUGCGAGUGUAGAGGUGAAAUUCGUAGAUAUUCGCAAGAACACCAGUGGCGAAGGCGGCCAAACUGGUCCGGUACUGACGCUGAGGUGCGAAAGC